RNAcentral lists this ribosomal RNA (253 nucleotides) under uncultured bacterium. RNAcentral describes it as "partial 16S ribosomal RNA". It matches the Rfam family "Bacterial small subunit ribosomal RNA", at positions 524 to 776 of the family's 1533-position model. The record is from RNAcentral.
UACGUAGGUGGCAAGCGUUAUCCGGAUUUAUUGGGCGUAAAGGGAACGCAGGCGGUCUUUUAAGUCUGAUGUGAAAGCCUUCGGCUUAACCGGAGUAGUGCAUUGGAAACUGGGAGACUUGAGUGCAGAAGAGGGGAGUGGAACUCCAUGUGUAGCGGUGAAAUGCGUAGAUAUAUGGAAGAACACCAGUGGCGAAAGCGGCUCUCUGGUCUGUAACUGACGCUGAGGCUCGAAAGCAUGGGUAGCGAACAGG